UUCCUUGAAAAGAACAGCUGAGAGGGUGAAACUCCCGUCCGCCUGGUAGAAUGAGUCUUUGUCAACGAGUCGAGUUGUUUGGGAUUGCAGCUCUAAUUUGGUGGUAAAUUCCAUCUAAAGCUAAAUAUUGGUGGGAGACCGAUAGCGUACAAGUACCGUGAGGGAAAGAUGCAAAGAACUUUGAAAAGAGAGUUAAAGAGUACCUGAAAUUGCUGAAACGGAAGCGAGGGAAACCAGUGUUUGUUGGUUCAUAUUUCCCUGGCCACUUGUGGUUUGGGCG
RNAcentral lists this ribosomal RNA (280 nucleotides) under Pseudo-nitzschia fraudulenta. Its description in RNAcentral is "partial 28S ribosomal RNA". It matches the Rfam family "Eukaryotic large subunit ribosomal RNA", at positions 187 to 475 of the family's 3401-position model. The record is from RNAcentral. Lineage: Eukaryota; Bacillariophyta; Bacillariophyceae; Bacillariales; Bacillariaceae.